GCCGGGGUGGCCGAGCGGCCCAAGGCGCGGGACUUGAGAUCCCGUCCCCGCAUGGGGGCCCGGGUUCAAAUCCCGGCCCCGGCGCCA
RNAcentral lists this transfer RNA (87 nucleotides) under Thermocladium sp. ECH_B. RNAcentral describes it as "tRNA-Ser". It matches the Rfam family "tRNA". From Rfam's summary of the family: Transfer RNA (tRNA) molecules are approximately 80 nucleotides in length. RNAcentral also lists the same sequence under 1 other name. Lineage: Archaea; Thermoproteati; Thermoproteota; Thermoprotei; Thermoproteales; Thermoproteaceae. The record is from RNAcentral.